UACGAAGGGGGCUAGCGUUGCUCGGAAUCACUGGGCGUAAAGCGCACGUAGGCGGAUCUUUAAGUCAGGGGUGAAAUCCCGGAGCUCAACUCCGGAACUGCCUUUGAUACUGAGGAUCUCGAGUCCGGGAGAGGUGAGUGGAACUGCGAGUGUAGAGGUGAAAUUCGUAGAUAUUCGCAAGAACACCAGUGGCGAAGGCGGCUCACUGGCCCGGUACUGACGCUGAGGUGCGAAAGCGUGGGGAGCAAACAGG
This 253-nucleotide ribosomal RNA is filed under the name uncultured bacterium. RNAcentral describes it as "partial 16S ribosomal RNA". It matches the Rfam family "Bacterial small subunit ribosomal RNA", at positions 524 to 776 of the family's 1533-position model. The record is from RNAcentral.